UACGUAGGGUGCGAGCGUUGUCCGGAAUUAUUGGGCGUAAAGAGCUCGUAGGCGGUCUGUCGCGUCGAUCGUGAAAACUUGGGGCUUAACCCUGAGCUUGCGGUCGAUACGGGCAUGACUGGAGUUCGGCAGGGGAGACUGGAAUUCCUGGUGUAGCGGUGAAAUGCGCAGAUAUCAGGAGGAACACCGGUGGCGAGGGCGGGUCUCUGGGCCGAUACUGACGCUGAGGAGCGAAAGCGUGGGGAGCGAACAGG
RNAcentral lists this ribosomal RNA (254 nucleotides) under uncultured bacterium. RNAcentral describes it as "partial 16S ribosomal RNA". It matches the Rfam family "Bacterial small subunit ribosomal RNA", at positions 524 to 776 of the family's 1533-position model. The record is from RNAcentral.